This 535-nucleotide ribosomal RNA is filed under the name Cobetia sp. Its description in RNAcentral is "bacterial SSU rRNA". It matches the Rfam family "Bacterial small subunit ribosomal RNA", at positions 380 to 907 of the family's 1533-position model. Lineage: Bacteria; Pseudomonadati; Pseudomonadota; Gammaproteobacteria; Oceanospirillales; Halomonadaceae. The record is from RNAcentral.
AGCCUGAUCCAGCCAUGCCGCGUGUGUGAAGAAGGCCUUCGGGUUGUAAAGCACUUUCAGCGAGGAAGAACGCCUUGGGAUUAAUACUCCCGAGGAAAGACAUCACUCGCAGAAGAAGCACCGGCUAACUCCGUGCCAGCAGCCGCGGUAAUACGGAGGGUGCAAGCGUUAAUCGGAAUUACUGGGCGUAAAGCGCGCGUAGGUGGCUAAGUCAGCCAGGUGUGAAAGCCCCGGGCUCAACCUGGGAACGGCAUCUGGAACUGCUUGGCUAGAGUGCAGGAGAGGAAGGUAGAAUUCCCGGUGUAGCGGUGAAAUGCGUAGAGAUCGGGAGGAAUACCAGUGGCGAAGGCGGCCUUCUGGACUGACACUGACACUGAGGUGCGAAAGCGUGGGUAGCAAACAGGAUUAGAUACCCUGGUAGUCCACGCCGUAAACGAUGUCAACUAGCCGUUGGGUCCCUUGAGGACUUAGUGGCGCAGCUAACGCAAUAAGUUGACCGCCUGGGGAGUACGGCCGCAAGGUUAAAACUCAAAUG